GGAAAGUGGGGGGCAGGGUGCGCGUAAAUGAGAAGGGGGCGGGUGUUGGUCGUAAGCACUGGGCGUAAAGCGUAGGUAGGCGGAUUGUUAAGUUAGGGGUGAAAUCCCGAGGCUCAACCUCGGAACUGCCUCUAAGACUGGCUUUCUUGAGUUCGGGAGAGGUGAGUGGAACUCCUAGUGUAGAGGUGAAAUUCGUAGAUAUUAGGAAGAACACCAGUGGCGAAGGCGGCUCACUGGCCCGAUACUGACGCUGAUGUACGAAAGCGUGGGGAGCAAACAGGAUUAGAUACCCGAGUAGUC
This 300-nucleotide ribosomal RNA is filed under the name uncultured Bacillus sp. RNAcentral describes it as "bacterial SSU rRNA". The stretch from base 52 to 300 matches the Rfam family "Bacterial small subunit ribosomal RNA", at positions 547 to 795 of the family's 1533-position model. The record is from RNAcentral. Lineage: Bacteria; Bacillati; Bacillota; Bacilli; Caryophanales; Bacillaceae.